CCAUAUUAUCUAAGGCUCUUUAAGUCCAGGUCAAACAUCUUUCUUUGCCUUGAAGCUCAGGCUAACACUCGGUGCUUAGAAAAAGCUGAGUGCUCCCAGUAACUUCCACAAGCCUCCACCCUCACCCAGCUCUAGCCAGGAAACCCAGCCUGUCCCCUCACAAAGACCUCACCUGCAGUCUCUUACAUCAGACAGCAUGAUCCAAGGUGAAAGGAAGUUAGCAGGAACAGGCAAAGAAGGCAGAGGACAGGAUGCCAACAUCUGUUUCUAAUCUACAGAAAUCUAAGCAGCAAGGUAACAAGCUUUAGAUGGGGCUAGAGUCUGGAUCUACCCAGUGGAAAUAAAAUCUAUUUGUAUUUUUAAUCAAAUGGAUUGAAGAAUGAAGAGGUCUCUGCAGCUCUAAUCCCAGUGAUUGAAAGAUGUUCCUAUCGCUCUUUCCUCCACCUCAGCACUCCAGGAUUUCUCCUCCACCUCAAGCCUGUCUAGUUCCAGAACUACAGAUGAAGUAUCAAUACCAAAGAACUGAACUGGACAUCUACUUCAUUUCUUCAAUUUAAACCAUUUUUGAUGCCUCUUCUCCCUCGAGGGCCUGUUUUUCCUUUUUUUUUUUUUUUUUAACCUUCAUCCUAAGGGCCUCUGGUUCUGUCCUUCAGUUCUCUCUACUCCAAAAGAAAAAAGGGACUGUGUUGAAUCAACAUACAGGGGACCGUGGGAAGGGCCAGUUCACCGUAAGUAACUUACCUACACAUUCUAUAGCACACACAGUAUGUCGUCUGCAUGCAGAAAGUAUAUUCUGCCACCAAUGCUUCUGAGCCUGGUCAGAAACCCCAUAGGCUGGCACUAUACUCAAGCUGCUGAAGCAAUCUACAGAUAUGUUUCCCAGAGCACUCAGGAGGCUUUCCCAACCUGCCGGGGAGCGUGAGAGCACAUCACACAGCCUCAAAGGCACCACCAUCUGCGAGCAUCUGAUCCCUUGCUUUUUCUAUCAUUUCUAUCGGCCCAGAAGGGGCAAGCCAAGACUCCUGUCAUCCACUCUUCAGAUCCCCACGACCUGUUCCGCUCAAGCUUAAAAUCCUGUAGUGCACAUACAGAAACUGUGGCUCUAUAGUCCUAUUCGAUCUCAUAAAAGGACCCAAAAUACCAAAAAAAAAAAAAAAGAAAAGAAAAAGAAAGAAGAAAAAAUGUUCAGCCCAAACCAAAUAGCCUUAUUUUAGCUGGAAUUCUGCCAGACAGCCACAAGAGGCUGGCGAGGUACAACUGGGAUGGAGUGGAGCUCAGCAAAUCUCAUUGAAAACCCAGUAAGGUUCCAUGAAUCAGGUCGAAUGAAAAGGUACACCUCUUUUUAGAGUGAGGUUUGUCUGCGGUUUGAAAAGUCAGAUCCAAAGGACUCUUUGCUCCUUCGUAAAGGUUAAACUGACGAAUGGGGGGGGGGGGGAGGAUUUAAACUCCUGGAGAUUUACAGGCCACUUUUAUAAAGGUGUUUUUAAAAACGAAAACCCUUUUCAGCCCUUAUUUCUAGAAAGUAAUUUUGUUGCAGGUGAUCUUGCAUGUACUUGGGCACCAAGGAAAAAAGACACCUGUGCCUAACAGGUCGGUAACACUACCAACGUGCCCCGGGUACCAAGGGAACGAGAGAUGCUCUGAUUUCUGGAUAAAAGAUUUUCUGCAGUGCCAGAUAUCCAACUGCACCACCAGCAUGACACACCUGCCCAUUAGCCUGUAUCUAAAGUUCCCGGAGAAAUGAAUGAAAAUUGUUUGCUGGGAAGCUUAAUUGAAAAAUCUGUUUGAAAUGGCCCAGGAGGUAGCCCAAAAUAGGCUUCACACUAAUGUAUAUCAGGAUCUUGGUAAUGAUCCAGCCGGAGAAGGACUGACUCCAAACUGCAUGUGCAUGAGAGCUAUUCUUCACUGAACUAAAAAUCAACCUGAGAUGCCAUUUUGAAGUCUUUGUUUGAAAGGAACUAAAAUUAAACCAUAAAGACAAUUUUUCGAGCCGUGUUUUCUGAGGCACACCUAUUCAAGCCGAUCUUAAUUCUGUUAUGCUUUGGACAUAUUGACUUUUUCCUAUGCCAGAAGAGAAAAUACUGGACACUCUAUUUUGAGUUGUUACUACCACCCCCUCAACGUACCUCCCACACUUCCUAAGCACCUAUUCUGGUUUAUUAAAUUCAACAAGCCAUUUGCAUAAGAUAUUGCAUAAUAUUUCAUUUACUGUCUGUCUUUUCCUUUGGAAUACAAGCCACAUGAAGGAAGAGAUUUUAGUCAGUGCAAUCAGUACCAUAUCCCUAGGGCCUAGCAGCACACAUUUUGUAUUCAACAGAUGUUACUGAAUGAAUGAACUGGCACUAAGUAAAACAUCUACCUCUAUAUAUAUAUAUAUAUAUAUAUAUAUAUAUUCCAGCUCAGAUUCAUGCAAUGUGCAUUUUAAGUACAUCUAUAUAGAAUCUUUUGUUUAUCCUUUUACUUUUGGAAGUGCAUAAGCAAUGCUUCUUACAAAUAAUAAAGGUAUGACGAAAUUUU
Peromyscus maniculatus bairdii (prairie deer mouse) is the source of this 2517-nucleotide non-coding RNA. The record is from RefSeq and is a predicted model, not a curated record. NCBI's taxonomy places the organism in Eukaryota, Metazoa, Chordata, Mammalia, Rodentia, Cricetidae.